UUGCAUCGAUGAAGAACGCAGCGAAAUGCGAUAACUAAUGUGAAUUGCAGAAUUCAGUGAAUCAUCGAGUCUUUGAACGCACAUUGCGCCCCCUGGUAUUCCGGGGGGCAUGCCUGUCCGAGCGUCAUUGCUGCCCUCAAGCCCGGCUUGUGUGUUGGGUCGCCGUCCCCCUCUCCGGGGGGACGGGCCCGAAAGGCAGCGGCGGCACCGCGUCCGAUCCUCGAGCGUAUGGGGCUUUGUCACAUGCUCUGUAGGAUUGGCCGGCGCCUGCCGACGUUUUCCAACCAUUCUUUCCAGGUUGACCUCGGAUCAGGUAGGGAUACCCGCUGAACUUAAGCAUAUCAAUAAGCGGAGGA
Molecule: ribosomal RNA, 356 nt
Filed under: Aspergillus niger
Lineage: Eukaryota; Fungi; Ascomycota; Eurotiomycetes; Eurotiales; Aspergillaceae
Description: eukaryotic LSU rRNA
Rfam family: 5.8S ribosomal RNA (bases 1-127)
Source: RNAcentral